AAAUUGAAGAGUUUGAUCAUGGCUCAGAUUGAACGCUGGCGGCAGGCCUAACACAUGCAAGUCGAACGGUAACAGGAAGCAGCUUGCUGCUUUGCUGACGAGUGGCGGACGGGUGAGUAAUGUCUGGGAAACUGCCUGAUGGAGGGGGAUAACUACUGGAAACGGUGGCUAAUACCGCAUAACGUCGCAAGACCAAAGAGGGGGACCUUCGGGCCUCUUGCCAUCAGAUGUGCCCAGAUGGGAUUAGCUAGUUGGUGAGGUAACGGCUCACCAAGGCGACGAUCCCUAGCUGGUCUGAGAGGAUGACCAGCCACACUGGAACUGAGACACGGUCCAGACUCCUACGGGAGGCAGCAGUGGGGAAUAUUGCACAAUGGGCGCAAGCCUGAUGCAGCCAUACCGCGUGUAUGAAGAAGGCCUUCGGGUUGUAAAGUACUUUCAGCGGGGAGGAAGGUGUUGUGGUUAAUAACC
RNAcentral lists this ribosomal RNA (471 nucleotides) under Salmonella enterica. Its description in RNAcentral is "bacterial SSU rRNA". It matches the Rfam family "Bacterial small subunit ribosomal RNA", at positions 1 to 468 of the family's 1533-position model. Lineage: Bacteria; Pseudomonadati; Pseudomonadota; Gammaproteobacteria; Enterobacterales; Enterobacteriaceae. The record is from RNAcentral.